Molecule: ribosomal RNA, 253 nt
Filed under: uncultured bacterium
Lineage: Bacteria
Description: partial 16S ribosomal RNA
Rfam family: Bacterial small subunit ribosomal RNA
Source: RNAcentral
UACGAAGGGUGCAAGCGUUACUCGGAAUUACUGGGCGUAAAGCGUGCGUAGGUGGUGAGUUAAGUCUGAUGUGAAAGCCCCGGGCUCAACCUGGGAAUGGCAAUGGAUACUGGCAAGCUAGAGUGCGGUAGAGGGUAGUGGAAUUCCCGGUGUAGCGGUGAAAUGCGUAGAGAUCGGGAGGAACACCAGUGGCGAAGGCGGCUACCUGGACCAGCACUGACACUGAGGCACGAAAGCGUGGGGAGCAAACAGG